RNAcentral lists this ribosomal RNA (541 nucleotides) under Sciurillus pusillus kuhlii. Its description in RNAcentral is "partial 16S ribosomal RNA". It matches the Rfam family "Bacterial large subunit ribosomal RNA", at positions 1819 to 2595 of the family's 2925-position model. Lineage: Eukaryota; Metazoa; Chordata; Mammalia; Rodentia; Sciuridae. The record is from RNAcentral.
CCUCUAGCAUUAACAGUAUUAGAGGUACCGCCUGCCCAGUGACCUAUGUUAAACGGCCGCGGUAUCCUGACCGUGCAAAGGUAGCAUAAUCAUUUGUUCUCUAAUUAAGGACUAGUAUGAAAGGCAAAACGAGGGUUCAACUGUCUCUUACUUCCAAUCAGUGAAAUUGACCUUCCCGUGAAGAGGCAGGAAUAAUCUAAUAAGACGAGAAGACCCUAUGGAGCUUAAAUUUCCUAAUUCAAGCAUUCUACACACAAUCCAAUAGAUAUAAAAAUUGCCCCUGAAUUAGAAAUCUCGGUUGGGGUGACCUCGGAGAAUAAAUCAACCUCCGAAUGAUUAAUAACCAUGACAAACAAGUCUAAGUAUAAAAUCAUAUAUUGAUCCAAACUAUUGAUCAACGGAACAAGUUACCCUAGGGAUAACAGCGCAAUCCUAUUCAAGAGUCCAUAUCGACAAUUAGGGUUUACGACCUCGAUGUUGGAUCAGGACAUCCAAAUGGUGCAACCGCUAUUAAUGGUUCGUUUGUUCAACGAUUAAAGUC